Molecule: unclassified non-coding RNA, 148 nt
Filed under: Butyrivibrio sp. INlla14
Lineage: Bacteria; Bacillati; Bacillota; Clostridia; Lachnospirales; Lachnospiraceae
Description: Clostridiales-1 RNA
Source: RNAcentral
UUAUAUCUAGAGCUUACAAGACCAUCACGAAAGUGAUGGUCUUUUUUGCUGCACAAGACCGGCAAGCGAAUGGAUGCUUGCAUACAAAUUCAUUUGCCGGUCGUAAGAACAUGGAGCACUAAGUGCGGAAUGUUCGUGUGCGAAAUCG